UAAUCGCGGAUCAGCAUGCCGCGGUGAAUACGUUCUCGGGCCUUGUACACACCGCCCGUCACACCAUGGGAGUCGGUAACACCCGAAGUCUGUAGCCUGACGCAAGAGGGCGCAGCCGAAGGUGGGAUUGAUGACUGGGGUGAAGUCGUAACAAGGUAGC
Molecule: ribosomal RNA, 160 nt
Filed under: uncultured bacterium
Lineage: Bacteria
Description: partial 16S ribosomal RNA
Rfam family: Bacterial small subunit ribosomal RNA
Source: RNAcentral